This 460-nucleotide ribosomal RNA is filed under the name uncultured bacterium. RNAcentral's name for it is "partial 16S ribosomal RNA". It matches the Rfam family "Bacterial small subunit ribosomal RNA", at positions 338 to 795 of the family's 1533-position model. The record is from RNAcentral.
CCUACGGGAGGCAGCAGUGAGGAAUAUUGGUCAAUGGACGGAAGUCUGAACCAGCCAUGCCGCGUGCAGGAAGACGGCUCUAUGAGUUGUAAACUGCUUUUGUACAAGGGUAAACCUGAAUACGUGUAUUCAGCUGAAAGUACUGUACGAAUAAGGAUCGGCUAACUCCGUUCCAGCAGCCGCGGUAAUACGGUGGAGCCAAGCGUUAUCCGGAUUUAUUGGGGUUAAAGGGUUCGUAGGCGGAUUGAUAAGUUAAAGGUGAUAUGUCCGAGCUUAACUCGGGAACUGCCUCUAAUAAUGUGGAUCUAGAGAGUAGAUGCGGUAGGCGGAAUGUAAGGUGUAGCGGUGAAAUGCUUAGAGAUCAUACAGAACACCGAUUGCGAAGGCAGCUUACCAAUCUAUAUCUGACGUUGAGGCACGAAAGCGUGGGGAGCAAACAGGAUUAGAUACCCCAGUAGUC